CGCUGGCGGCAUGCCUAACACAUGCAAGUCGAACGAGACUUCGGUCUAGUGGCGGACGGGUGAGUAACGCGUAGGAACCUGCCAAGCAGUGGGGAGUAACAGCUGGAAACGGCUGCUAAUACCGCAUACGCCCUUCGGGGGAAAGAUUUAUCGCUGUUUGAGGGUCCUGCGUUCGAUUAGUUAGUUGGUGAGGUAACGGCCCACCAAGGCGACGAUCGAUAGCUGGUCUGAGAGGAUGAUCAGCCACACUGGGACUGAGACACGGCCCAGACUCCUACGGGAGGCAGCAGUGGGGAAUAUUGGACAAUGGGGGAAACCCUGAUCCAGCAAUGCCGCGUGCGUGAAGAAGGCCUUAGGGUUGUAAAGCGCUUUCACCUGUGAUGAUGAUGACAGUAGCAGGAGAAGAAGCCCCGGCUAACUCCGUG
This 425-nucleotide ribosomal RNA is filed under the name uncultured bacterium. RNAcentral describes it as "bacterial SSU rRNA". It matches the Rfam family "Bacterial small subunit ribosomal RNA", at positions 34 to 507 of the family's 1533-position model. The record is from RNAcentral.